AUGGCAUCUCUAGCCAGAACAGUUCAGUUGGUGCACGGUGACGUGGUGGCUCGACAAGUGUGGGCAACAGCAGUAGGGUCCCCCUUGAAGUGGAGCAUGAUGACUACAAUUCUGGGUUUGAUGAAGAGAAGCUAUAUGCUGAUGUUAUUCGGAAUUUACGACGGGCACCUCGGGCUGAUAACCAAGAUGAGGCUCACAAUGCAGUCCGUGUGGAUGAUGACGCGGUGGGUGAGGACGAAGACCUUGCAACUGUUGAAUGGGACCCUUUGA
RNAcentral lists this ribosomal RNA (270 nucleotides) under Triticum aestivum (bread wheat). RNAcentral describes it as "partial small subunit ribosomal RNA". Lineage: Eukaryota; Viridiplantae; Streptophyta; Magnoliopsida; Poales; Poaceae. The record is from RNAcentral.